GCGUGGGAGGGGACGUGCAGCCCACUGCGCUACUGUUGGCUCCGGUUACGUGAAUUAGUGAGGGCUUCGCACUUCUUCCCCAGGCUUCAGUGUCACCUCUUUUCACACGGGCACCCCGAGGGCCCGGACUGGAAAAGCGAGCCUGCCAUCUCAAGACUGGGCGCCCCUGCCCGCCUCUUAGUGCCCGUGUGGCUCCAUCCUGGGUGUGGGAGCGGCGGGGCUUCCGGGGAGGACGCUGGGACGCGCGGACGAGGCUCCCGGUUUAGGGAAUGGGUGGCUUUCGGAGGCUCCUGGGGGCCCGGCAUGCCCGCUGCUUGCGGGGCGUCCCAGGCUGUGCAGGAUCCCUGAGACGCUGCACCUGGGGCCUCAUAACGCGUAUGUUUUCAUUCGGGCGCUCUGGGUGGGCCUGAGACUUGGCGUUUCUCACAGGUUCCCAGGAGGUUCCUUGGAGUAGCCAGGAGGUGGAGAAAUAGCCCGGGCCGUUUGCAAGCUUUGAAGGAUUCAAAUAUUUUGCAUGCUUCUUGAGAAGUGAGUGCCUAGACACGUGUUGAUGAUGCUUAGUGGGAAAACGUGCUGAAAUAGCCCGUGAAAAGACAAAGUAUGAAACAGAACCAGGAACUCAGCACAGAAAAAGAGUCAAACACUUUUACAUGCUGCUGGAGCUCAUAGUGGUCAGGAAAAUUUUUUAAAAUAGGUGAGAAACCCACUUUUACAUGGUGUAGUGUUUUUUAAAAAGUUAUUGUCACUUUUUAAUAUAGGAGGUUGGAAUAUUUUGUGGGAAAACAUGGAGGAUAAGUCAUUACUCUUAGAAUUUCAAGUUUUCAGACACUAAUUGAUUUUCAUUUUUAUAUUGUACCAGUGUCUGCCUGUUUCCUCCAUCCCUGUCCUCCUGCCCCAGGGCCCCACUUGGGAUGUACCCCGUCAACCGUGGCCUGCUCUGCCUUGUCUGUGUAGUUAUCCUGGCUCUUGCAACUACCCAUGGCUCUCACGUGUUUACCUGCCUCUUCAGUGCCUGAUGCUCUAGCUACUAAGAGUGUCUGUUGAAUGAAUGAGCAGUGUGCUUGUUUGCUGCUCCAGCUACUUGUUCCAUAGCUCCACGUUUGCUGGUGCUUUCCUCUGCCUAAAAUACCUUUUCCUUCCUCACCUGGCUUCUCUCCUGACACCUCCACCUCCUUACCCCUCAGGGUUCCUUCCUUUGUUCCAGUCGCUUGUAUUGCUUUAUCCUGCACUUGUCACAUUAUAGAAAAAUUACCUGUUUGUAUCUGCCUCCCUUCCCGACUGUGAGCUCCUCAAAGGCUGGAGUCCCGUCUGAUCACUGACACCAGGCACAGCACAAGCCGACAGAACUGUUUCAGCCCUUAGGCAACGGAGGGAAAAUGACUGGGGCUGACAGGCUUUUAAAAUGCUCAUCAAAAUGUUUGAGACAUAAAAACAAUAUUGUUGGCUCCAAAAUAUUUUUUUUAAUCUGCAAAAUCAAAGCUAAAAAUGUUUAAUGAAGUAGCUCUGAAAUACUGCAAUGUCAAUGUCAUUAAUUAUUAAAGGUGGUAUUGACAUACAGUUUGUUCCAUUCUAAAACAGUUUGUAGAUAGACUUUCUCAGUUAGCAAAAAUCCUCCCAGCAGGCAAUGAUUUCUGAGAAAAAUCCCAGUCAUUUGUAAAUUCAGGUAGUUAUUUGUAUAGUUUCCAAAACGUUAUAGCAAGACAAUUUUAAGUUAGGCAAAUGUGGUUGGGGCUCCUGCCAGAAGAACAAGUGGCCAGGAUGCUCACGGUUCUUAUCUAGCCUCACGGGCAGAGCAUGCCAAACUUGAAAACCUCUCAACUCAGGGACCAUUUGGGGAAUAUGCUUUUCAGUUUGCCAUGGGCGCUUCCACAACCUAAUGUCUUACCCGUCACCAGCCUCAUUUGUUUACUUUCUGGAUCUUAGAAAGUUUUGAAUUUCUGGCUCCUGAUCCUAGACUUUUAGAGCUGAAAGAGAUUUGAGGUCAUCUGAGCCAAUCUCUUGCCUCUUUAGAUGAGAGCAAUGCCGUCCAGAAAGGAGAAUAGGAUCGACUUGUUGAACAUCAUACAAAGGUAGUUACAAAGUUAGGACUAGUACCCAGGUCUCCUACCUUAGCUUUCUAAAAAGUCAAAUAGUAGACAUAGGCCAGUGGAUUUGAAGUUGUCUCAUAAUCACCUGAGGAACUUGUUAAGCAAACAGAUCCUCCAGCCACCUCCAGAAUCUAGUAUCUCUGGGGUAGUGCUGAUUCGUGUACAUUUUUACUGCAAUUGUUACGUUUCUGACAACCUUGCCCUGUAGAUUAUACCUUUGGAUAGUGGUCUCCAAAGACAAUCCCCUGGGGUGCAGGAAGACUGUUUUUUUUUUUUUAAUCUGACAAGUAAAGGCAAAAUUAAGCUUUACUAAUAUGUAAUUUAUGGAUUGACACAGGUGCCCUUCCUUGGGCCAUGGUGAGCUGGUCACAUAAGAUUGGGUUAUACUGACAAACCCAAUGAUCCCCAAGUGUCAGUGGCUUACAGCUGGGUUAGCCAGGUCAGUGGCUUACAGCUGGGUUAACCAGGUCAGUGGCUUACAGCUGGGUUAGCCAGGUCAGUGGCUUACAGCUGGGUUAGCCAGGUCAGUGGCUUACAGCUGGGUUAACCAGGUCAGUGGCUUACAGCUGGGUUAGCCAGGUCAGUGGCUUACAGCUGGGUUAGCCAGAGAAAGAACAGGAUGCAAAGUUAAAUUUGAAUUUCAGAUAAACAGUGAAAAAAUUUUUAGGAUGAGAAUGUCCCAAAUAUUUAGCAUAAGUAUGUCCCAUCUGAUGAAGCAGCCUCAAUCUGGAACAUUGCCAGUUGCAGUAGCAGAGACAAAAAGAGGUUGGUGCAUUGCAGACUAGCUCCAAAAGCUUUUGGUCAGAAGUGGCAAACAUCACUGCCAUUCAUUUUUUUUUUUUUUUGGCCAAAUAAAUCACAUGGCCAAGCCAAGCAUACGUGUGGCAGGGGAGACUGGACCCUAAGGAGGGAUGUUGGUUAUCCAUGACCAUUAUGCAGUCUACCACAGGCAUAUAUGGUGGCUUGGAUAGGCUAUUGGAUGCCAUUCACAAGGCCAAAUUUGGUGAAAAAGCAAAGCCUUUUGCAGAAUCUUUUCAGAGUUUUGUGAUGAGGGGUGUCUUAGUCUGUUUUGUGUCAUGAUAACAGAAUACCUAAGAUUGGGUAAUUUAUUUUUAGAAAAGGUUGAUUUAGUUCAUGGUUCUGCAGGCUGGGAAGUUGAAGCACAUGGCUCUGGCUUCUGGUGAGAGGUUUCAGGCUGUGUCAUAAUAUGGCAGAGAAGAUCAGUGGGUAAGUGGACAUGUGUGAAGAGAGGCAAAACCAGGUGGGUGUUCUGACUUUGUAACAACCCACUCUUGCAGAACUAACCAAUUCCUGAGAGAACUACCACACUGAGAUCAAAUUUCAACAUGAGUUUGGUGGGGACAUACAUAUAUCCAGAUCACAGCAAGGAGUGACCUUGAAAAUCUUGUAUCCCACAGAGAUCACAGAUCAUCAGUAGUAAAGCAUUCAAAAGAAUUGUCAAGCUUGAAAAUGAGUUACUAUAUUUUCUUUUAUAAAGAGUGUUCUACAUUUUCUCAUCUUAUCUGUGAUGACAUGUAGCUGUCAUUAGGAUGAUACCCAAGCGAAAGUUUCACAAAAACAAACAGACUGAAUCUGUUUCUUCAAAACAAAGGUGAUGUUUUAACAAUGAGUAGGCCAGGCGGGUGGCUCACGCCUGUAAUCCCAGCACUUUGGGAGGCCGAGGCGGGCGGAUCACAAGGUCAGGAGAUUGAGACCAUCCUGGCUAACACGGUGAAACCCCAUCUCUACUAAAAAAUACAAA
Molecule: non-coding RNA, 3849 nt
Organism: Macaca mulatta (Rhesus monkey)
Lineage: Eukaryota; Metazoa; Chordata; Mammalia; Primates; Cercopithecidae
Source: RefSeq, a predicted model, not a curated record